This 21-nucleotide microRNA is filed under the name Arabidopsis thaliana (thale cress). RNAcentral describes it as "ath-miR868-5p". Its record names the gene ath-miR868-5p. The record is from miRBase by way of RNAcentral. Lineage: Eukaryota; Viridiplantae; Streptophyta; Magnoliopsida; Brassicales; Brassicaceae.
UCAUGUCGUAAUAGUAGUCAC